Small nuclear RNA from Peromyscus maniculatus bairdii (prairie deer mouse), 102 nucleotides. NCBI's taxonomy places the organism in Eukaryota, Metazoa, Chordata, Mammalia, Rodentia, Cricetidae. The record is from Ensembl.
CUUGCUUCAGCAGUUUAUACUAAAAUUGGAAUGACACAGGGAAGAUCAGCAUGGCUCCUGAGCAAGGCUGACACACUAAUUCACAACGUAUUCCAUCUUAGU